GACGAACGCUGGCGGCAUGCCUAAUACAUGCAGGUCGAGCGGACAGAAGGGAGCUUGCUCCCGGAAGUCAGCGGCGGACGGGUGAGUAACACGUGGGCAACCUGCCCCUUAGAUUGGGAUAACUUCGGGAAACCGAAGCUAAUACCGAAUAAUACAAGGAACCUCCUGGUUCUCUGUUGAAAGAUGGCCUUUGUGCUGUCACUAAGGGAUGGGCCCGCGGCGCAUUAGCUAGUUGGUAAGGUAACGGCUUACCAAGGCGACGAUGCGUAGCCGACCUGAGAGGGUGAUCGGCCACACGGGACUGAGACACGGCCAAGACUCCUACGGGAGGCAGCAGUAGGGAAUCCUCCGCAAUGGACGAAAGUCUGACGGAGCAAUGCCGCGUGAGUGAGGAAGGCCUUCGGGUCGUAAAGCUCUGUUGUGAGGGAAGAACAAGUACCGGCGUAACUACCGGUACCGUGACAGUACCUCACCAGAAAGCCACGGCUAACUACGUGCCAGCCGCCGCGGUAA
Molecule: ribosomal RNA, 513 nt
Filed under: uncultured bacterium
Lineage: Bacteria
Description: partial 16S ribosomal RNA
Rfam family: Bacterial small subunit ribosomal RNA
Source: RNAcentral